UUGAAAGGGAAACGAUUGAAGUCAGUCAUACCAACGGGAAAUCAACCUUUUGAGCUUUGUCUCGUGGGUUCGAAGAGUUUAAACGCCUUCGGGUUUGCGAGAUUGGGAUCCUCUGGUGUACUUUCUCGUACGGUUAGUCAACAUCGGUUUUGAAUGUCAUAAAAUGACUGGAGGAAUGUAGCUUCGAUCUCGUAUCGAAGUGUUAUAGCCUUUGGUAGAUGUGAUGUUUGAGACCGAGGAUUGCAACGGAUACCCCUUAAGGGCUAUUCGUCUGAUCUCUGAUACGUUACCUUGAUGUUGAAAGCUUGCUUAUGAUGUUAGGGUAUUACGGUCAAAAGGUUAGAACGGUUUAAAUUCGUUAAGGAUGUUGACGUA
This 375-nucleotide ribosomal RNA is filed under the name uncultured Glomeraceae. RNAcentral's name for it is "LSU rRNA". The record is from RNAcentral. Lineage: Eukaryota; Fungi; Glomeromycota; Glomeromycetes; Glomerales; Glomeraceae.